GCCGGGGUUGCCGAGUGGUAAGGCGGUGGCCUGCUAAGCCACUGGGCUCUGCCCGCGUGGGUUCGAAUCCCACCCCCGGCG
Molecule: transfer RNA, 81 nt
Filed under: Geoglobus ahangari
Lineage: Archaea; Methanobacteriati; Methanobacteriota; Archaeoglobi; Archaeoglobales; Archaeoglobaceae
Also listed under: 4 other names
Rfam family: tRNA
About the family: Transfer RNA (tRNA) molecules are approximately 80 nucleotides in length. Their secondary structure includes four short double-helical elements and three loops (D, anti-codon, and T loops).
Source: Rfam by way of RNAcentral